UAGGGAAUCUUCCACAAUGGGCGCAAGCCUGAUGGAGCAACGCCGCGUGAGUGAAGAAGGUCUUCGGAUCGUAAAACUCUGUUGUUAGAGAAGAACAUGCAGGAGAGUAACUGUUCUUGUAUUGACGGUAUCUAACCAGAAAGCCACGGCUAACUACUUGCCAG
This 164-nucleotide ribosomal RNA is filed under the name uncultured bacterium. RNAcentral's name for it is "partial 16S rRNA". It matches the Rfam family "Bacterial small subunit ribosomal RNA", at positions 355 to 511 of the family's 1533-position model. The record is from RNAcentral.